UCUGCCCGCUGGCGGCGUGCCUAAUACAUGCAAGUCGAGCGAACGGACGAGAAGCUUGCUUCUCUGAUGUUAGCGGCGGACGGGUGAGUAACACGUGGAUAACCUACCUAUAAGACUGGGAUAAAUUCGGGAAACCGGAGCUAAUACCGGAUAAUAUUUUGAACCGCAUGGUUCAAAAGUGAAAGACGGUCCUGCUGUCACUUAUAGAUGGAUCCGCGCUGCAUUAGCUAGUUGGUAAGGUAACGGCUUACCAAGGCAACGAUGCAUAGCCGACCUGAGAGGGUGAUCGGCCACACUGGAACUGAGACACGGUCCAGACUCCUACGGGAGGCAGCAGUAGGGAAUCUUCCGCAAUGGGCGAAAGCCUGACGGAGCAACGCCGCGUGAGUGAUGAAGGUCUUCGGAUCGUAAAACUCUGUUAUUAGGGAAGAACAUAUGUGUAAGUAACUGUGCACAUCUUGACGGUACCUAAUCAGAAAGCCACGGCUAACUACGUG
Molecule: ribosomal RNA, 497 nt
Filed under: uncultured bacterium
Lineage: Bacteria
Description: partial 16S ribosomal RNA
Rfam family: Bacterial small subunit ribosomal RNA
Source: RNAcentral